Molecule: ribosomal RNA, 141 nt
Filed under: Escherichia coli
Lineage: Bacteria; Pseudomonadati; Pseudomonadota; Gammaproteobacteria; Enterobacterales; Enterobacteriaceae
Description: partial 23S ribosomal RNA
Rfam family: Bacterial large subunit ribosomal RNA
Source: RNAcentral
GGUUAAGCGACUAAGCGUACACGGUGGAUGCCCUGGCAGUCAGAGGCGAUGAAGGACGUGCUAAUCUGCGAUAAGCGUCGGUAAGGUGACAUGAACCGUUAUAACCGGCGAUUUCCGAAUGGGGAAACCCAGUGUGUUUCG